AAGUACAAGCCAUACACAGGGGAUUGCUGCUACCCAAGGCAUUCUUGUGGUGGGCUCUCAGCUUACGCUCCUGUCAGCCCAAGCUCAGUGAUAACUCAGAUGGUGAAUGUGAGGGCAUAGUACACAAACGGGCUUGCUCUGCUAAGGUCUUACAGAGUCACCAGCCUUGUGGCCAUUCUUCCAAGAGUGAACCUCAUUUUAAGCACACAGGAGUCACCCAUAGUGCUACUGGAACAAUAACCGUUCCUAGCAUUACAGAAAGUUCCGUUGGAUCAUGCUGGUCUGUCUCGAAUGUUCUAGCAAUCGCAUGGGGAAUGUUCUGACCUUGGGUCUUCAGGUCAUUACAGCGUAUGACUUCCUAAGAAAGAAGUUCCUCUGGGG
RNAcentral lists this long non-coding RNA (381 nucleotides) under Rattus norvegicus (Norway rat). Its description in RNAcentral is "long non-coding RNA NONRATT024113". Lineage: Eukaryota; Metazoa; Chordata; Mammalia; Rodentia; Muridae. The record is from RNAcentral.